Capsicum annuum is the source of this 1877-nucleotide long non-coding RNA. RefSeq lists it as uncharacterized. The transcript is spliced from 3 exons. The record is from RefSeq and is a predicted model, not a curated record. NCBI's taxonomy places the organism in Eukaryota, Viridiplantae, Streptophyta, Magnoliopsida, Solanales, Solanaceae.
AGGAACUACACAAAAUGAUCACACAUUAGAAGUAAAUUUGGAAGUAAAACAAUCAUAACUAGCAUAUUCUGUUACUGAUGUAUAUAUACAUUGCAACAAAGAGGAAUAGUUGACAGUUUUCAUUCUCCAAAAUAUCUGUCUUCAUUGGCUCUCGCAUGAACUGCAAAUCUCAGCUCCUCCAAUAUGUGAGCGUCCAUGGAGUUUUCAAGUCAAUUUUUCAAGUUAAAUCCUUCGCUUUGACAUGAUAUCAGCCGUAAGGGUUCAUAUUCCUCAUUCCUCGAUCGAUUUCGUAAUUCUUCUAUGAUUUUCUUUGAUGAUUUUUGUGUUUUUUUCCGCACCAAUCACACCUAUUUUCUCCAUUGAUACAGCUGUUUUUGGCUUCUCUUCAUCUCAACAAUGGAUAAUAACACACCGGAAACCACCAAUCUGAAUUCGAGCACCUCACAUGAAACUUUCAAUUCGAACAAUGUUUUAUACAUGCAUCCCUCAGAAAAUGCCAGUUCAUCGAUUAUUCCAACUCAGCUCAAUGGUACAAGUCAAGGAGGAGAGGAGUACUUUGCGCUCUGUCCGUGAAAAACAAAAUCGGUUUCAUCAAUGGAAAACUUCAAAAACCUGAUGUUGAUUCCCCUGAAUUUGUGUAAUGGGAACGCUGCGAUGAUAUGGUAUGAUCAAACAAAUGGUGCUAGAUCGUACCAACUUCAACAAGAAAUUGACAGACCUCACUCAAGAGAACCUAGACAUCACAGGCUAUUGCACUAAUGCUAGACGCUUAUGGGAGGAGUUGAGUGCUUUGGAUGCGAAUACUUAGAGCACCUGUGUGUGCAUUUGUGGAGGUAAGAAUAAGAUGCAAAACGCUGAGCAAGAUAGACGUUUGAUUCAGUUCCUAAUUGUCCUAAACGAGAUCUAUACAGUGGUUCGGGGAAGUAUAUUGAUGAUGAAUCCCCCGCCUACAAUGGCUCAAGCUUUUUCUAUCCUCAUCUAGGAAUAGAAGCAAAGAGAGGUCCGACUUGCUAAUAGACUUCAUUUGGAAUCUACUUCCUUAGUUGUUAUCAACUACUCUGCUGGCACCUCUGGGUAUAAGACCACAGGUGCUAGUUCUAGUAAUGGGGCCUUCAAAACCAAUUAUGCACCAGCUCACACACCCUUUUGAAAUGGGGGCACGAGUGCAUACAGGAUGAUUGGUUCGUCUUUUGGAAAUUACUCUGCAAGUCAGUUCACUAACAGGAAUGAUCUGUUCUGCAACUAUUGUAAGAAAAGUGGCCACAUAUAGGUCAAGUUUUACAAGCUACAUGGACAUCCACUCUAUUUCAAGUUUACCAAAGGUAAGAAUGUAGCUCAGGAGCAACUAAUAUCUUGGCAAGUACUGAUAGCUAGCCUCUUAGAGAUCAUGAUGAAUGUAUCAAGCAUGCAACUCAACAUCCUCAUAGUUUGACAAAAUACCAGUACAACCAACUUUUGACUCUACUGGUGAAUGUCCAUGUGAAUGGAGAUGAUGCAACUGAGAAUCCAAGAGAAUCAGUGGAUGACUUCAUCAAUGGCCAUAGUGUUGUAAAUCUUACAGGGUCCUUCACUGAAGAGUCCUCUAGAGAUUGGUAGAGCAAGAAGAGUUCUGUGUUACCUCUUUGCAGGCUGCCACAAUUGCUCUCCAUCUUGUUGCUCUUCCUCUACUCCUCAAAUUUUACCUGUUUUAUCAUCUUCUACUUAUUCAUCUCUUCCUAGUUUAGCAUCAUCUAGAUCUGAAUGCUCAUCUUCAUUGUCUUCUUUAUCUGUAUUAAACAAGCAAGAUGUUGCUAUAUACUCUACUUCACUUGUAAGAUCCACAUCUCCACGUAAUAAACUUGUUCGCAAUCCUAAUCCUAGUUAUUUUUCAGAUUCAA